Molecule: ribosomal RNA, 497 nt
Filed under: uncultured bacterium
Lineage: Bacteria
Description: partial 16S ribosomal RNA
Rfam family: Bacterial small subunit ribosomal RNA
Source: RNAcentral
GAUGAACGCUGGCGGCGUGCCUAAUACAUGCAAGUCGAGCGAACGGACGAGAAGCUUGCUUCUCUGAUGUUAGCGGCGGACGGGUGAGUAACACGUGGAUAACCUACCUAUAAGACUGGGAUAACUUCGGGAAACCGUAGCUAAUACCGGAUAAUAUUUUGAACCGCAUGGUUCAAAAGUGAAAGACGGUCUUGCUGUCACUUAUAGAUGGAUCCGCGCUGCAUUAGCUAGUUGGUAAGGUAACGGCUUACCAAGGCAACGAUGCAUAGCCGACCUGAGAGGGUGAUCGGCCACACUGGAACUGAGACACGGUCCAGACUCCUACGGGAGGCAGCGGUAAGGAAUCUUCCGCAAUGGGCGAAAGCCUGACGGAGCAACGCCGCGUGAGUGAUGAAGGUCUUCGGAUCGUAAAACUCUGUUAUUAGGGAAGAACAUAUGUGUAAGUAACUGUGCACAUCUUGACGGUACCUAAUCAGAAAGCCACGGCUAACUACGUG